This 396-nucleotide ribosomal RNA is filed under the name uncultured bacterium. Its description in RNAcentral is "partial 16S ribosomal RNA". It matches the Rfam family "Bacterial small subunit ribosomal RNA", at positions 523 to 918 of the family's 1533-position model. The record is from RNAcentral.
AUACGUAGGGGGCGAGCGUUGUCCGGAAUGAUUGGGCGUAAAGGGCGCGUAGGCGGCCCGGUGAGUCUGGAGUGAAAGUCCUGUUCUUAAGAUGGGAAUUGCUUUGGAUACUGUCGGGCUUGAGUGCAGGAGAGGUAAGUGGAAUUCCCAGUGUAGCGGUGAAAUGCGUAGAGAUUGGGAGGAACACCAGUGGCGAAGGCGACUUACUGGACUGUAACUGACGCUGAGGCGCGAAAGUGUGGGGAGCAAACAGGAUUAGAUACCCUGGUAGUCCACACUGUAACGAUGAAUGCUAGGUGUAGGGGGUAUCGACCCCUUCUGUGCCGCAGUCAACACAAUAAGCAUUCCGCCUGGGGAGUACGGCCGCAAGGUUGAAACUCAAAGGAAUUGACGGGG